CUAAUACAUCUACUUUCCUAACCUGGUCAUAAAAAGGCCGCCGUUUUAUAGAACCAAACCAACUAAGGCGACUCUCUCUAAUCUUGUUGGAUAUGCAUUAAAAAAACCAUUUAAAUGUCUUACUUAAAGCUUGGUGAAUAUUGGGGAGUAAAAAUAAUUCUUAAGCAAAUAAGAUUUAAAACCUCAUAUUGACCAGAGCAUGUCAACAAUCUAAACAUAAAUGAAUCAUAUGGACUCUUGUGAAAUGUGAUCAUUAACAUCUUUAAUAAUUAGAGGGAGACUAAUAUAGUGGAGGAUGAUGAUCAAUUGUUGUAUUUGCAAGUGAUAUGGUGACCAUAUUCAUGUGGCUUGCAAACACAGGCACAUCAAGCUCUAGUUCCAUAAGAAGUCUAAAAUUGGUCCCAAAUUCAGAGUACAAACCAGAUUUGAUGGAGAAGCAACAACCAUGGUGGUGAAAGGUAAAGGAAAAGAUAAAGUUGUUGCUGAUUAGAUUUCAAGUACCUCAAUAUUAUGUGUUAUUUCUAUAUUUGUUAGUAAGGAUUAUCUAAGGGUAUGUAAACACUCAUUUGAAGUAUUUUGUUUGGAUGUUCCUUAGUGGCUCUGUAACUAUGUUGUGGAAGUUUAAAAAAGUGAAGUACUUCAGUUAAUGUAUCAAUGAAGGUUUAUGAGAUAUGUCGUAUAGUUA
Molecule: long non-coding RNA, 685 nt
Organism: Dendrobium catenatum
Lineage: Eukaryota; Viridiplantae; Streptophyta; Magnoliopsida; Asparagales; Orchidaceae
Exons: 2
Source: RefSeq, a predicted model, not a curated record